RNAcentral lists this transfer RNA (79 nucleotides) under Candidatus Omnitrophota bacterium. Its description in RNAcentral is "tRNA-Pro". It matches the Rfam family "tRNA". From Rfam's summary of the family: Transfer RNA (tRNA) molecules are approximately 80 nucleotides in length. Their secondary structure includes four short double-helical elements and three loops (D, anti-codon, and T loops). The record is from RNAcentral. Lineage: Bacteria; Pseudomonadati; Candidatus Omnitrophota.
CGGGGCGUGGCUCAGCUUGGUUUAGAGCGCAGCGUUCGGGACGCUGAGGUCGACGGUUCAAGUCCGUCCGCCCCGACCA